This is a long non-coding RNA of Apteryx haastii (Great spotted kiwi), 855 nucleotides long. Lineage: Eukaryota; Metazoa; Chordata; Aves; Apterygiformes; Apterygidae. The record is from Ensembl.
CCACAUUCUGCGAGGCAGCGAAGAGACACAGCGGUCUGCUUGUUCGCCAGGCAGCGAAGAGAUGAAGCGGUUUGCUUGUUCGCCAGGCAGUGGACAGAUUAGGCAGUCUCCUUGUUUGUGAGACAGCAAACAUCCACAGUGGUCACUCAUUCUGCGAGGCAGCGAACAGAUGCAGCGGUUUGCUUGUCCACUAGAUGGCGAAGUGGCAUCGCGGAUUGCUUUUUCGCCUGGAAGCGACCCGAUGCAGCACUUUGCCAGUUGGCGAGGCAGCGAACAGACGCAGCAGUCUGCUGCUUUGUGAGACAGCGAACAUCCACAGUGGUUCCUCAUUCGGCGAGGCAACGAAGAGACGAAGCAGUUUGCUUGUUCGCCAGGCAGUGAAUAGAUUAGACGGUCUCCUUCUUUGUGAGACAGCGAACAUCCGCUGCGUCUCUUCGUUGCCUCGCAGAAUGAGGAACCACUGUGGAUGUCCGCUAUCUAUCAAAGAAGGAGACUGCCUAAUCUCUUCGCUGCCUGUCGAAGAAUCAAACCGCUUCGUCUCUUUGCCGCCUCGCAGACAAGCAAGCCCUUGUGUCUCUUUGCCACCUCGUGCACUAACUAACCGCUGCAUCUCUUUGAUGCCUGCCAAAAGAAGGAAGUGCUGCAUCUCUUCCCGCCUCGCCAACACGCAGUCCGCUGCCCCUAUUGGAGGCGUUGCAAACAAGCAGUGGGCAGAAUCUCUUCACCACUUCGCCAACAAGCGGACUGCAGAGUCGCUUCGCCGCCUGGCCAACAAGCACACCGCUGCAUGUCUUCGCUGCCUUGCCAGCUAGCAAAGUGCUGCCUCGCUUCGCUUCCAGGUGAAAAAGCAAUCCG